This 239-nucleotide long non-coding RNA is filed under the name Elaeis guineensis (African oil palm). RNAcentral's name for it is "long non-coding RNA (EGUI_LNC061736)". The record is from RNAcentral. Lineage: Eukaryota; Viridiplantae; Streptophyta; Magnoliopsida; Arecales; Arecaceae.
UGGCUAUUUUAGAACCUCGGGCAUUGCUGCGAUCAUCUAUAGGGUAAUCUAGUUACCCUAGAGGUAUUUCUCUAUUUCUCAUAUUUUUAGAUUUAAUUUUAAAUUUAAUAUUAAAUAAUAAAAAUUAGAUCUAAUAGAUCUUAGAUUUGAAAUAUUAUAGAAUAAUUUUUUGAAAUAUUCUGCCUCAGAUCUCAUUAGAUCUGGAAGAUCCUACAAGGAAAAAAGUUGGUUUUUCCUUC